AGCAGAGUGGCGCAGUGGAAGCGUGCUGGGCCCAUAACCCAGAGGUCCAAUGAUCGAAACCUUGCUCUGCUA
Nematostella vectensis (starlet sea anemone) is the source of this 72-nucleotide non-coding RNA. The record is from Rfam. Lineage: Eukaryota; Metazoa; Cnidaria; Anthozoa; Actiniaria; Edwardsiidae.